This 68-nucleotide transfer RNA is filed under the name Laevistrombus canarium. RNAcentral describes it as "tRNA-Glu". The record is from RNAcentral. Lineage: Eukaryota; Metazoa; Mollusca; Gastropoda; Littorinimorpha; Strombidae.
GUUCCUAUGGUGUUAAGAAAGCACAUUAGAUUUUCAUUCUAAAGGAAUAAAGUGAUUUAUUAGGAAUA